RNAcentral lists this ribosomal RNA (465 nucleotides) under uncultured bacterium. RNAcentral describes it as "partial 16S ribosomal RNA". It matches the Rfam family "Bacterial small subunit ribosomal RNA", at positions 28 to 507 of the family's 1533-position model. The record is from RNAcentral.
GACGAACGCUGGCGGCGUGCUUAACACAUGCAAGUCGAACGGAAAGGCCCUGCUUGCAGGGUACUCGAGCGGCGAACGGGUGAGUAACACGUGGGUGAUCUGCCCUGCACUUCGGGAUAAGCCUGGGAAACUGGGUCUAAUACCGGAUAUGACCUUCCAUGUAGUGUGGGGGGUGGAAAGAUUUAUCGGUGUGGGAUGAGCCCGCGGCCUAUCAGCUUGUUGGUGGGGUAAUGGCCUACCAAGGCGUCGACGGGUAGCCGGCCUGAGAGGGUGGACGGCCACAUUGGGACUGAGAUACGGCCCAGACUCCUACGGGAGGCAGCAGUGGGGAAUAUUGCACAAUGGGCGGAAGCCUGAUGCAGCGACGCCGCGUGGGGGAUGACGGCCUUCGGGUUGUAAACCUCUUUCGACAGGGACGAAGCUUCGGUGACGGUACCUGUAUAAGAAGCACCGGCUAACUACGUG